GAUGAACGCUGGCGGCGUGCCUAAUACAUGCAAGUCGAGCGAACGGACGAGAAGCUUGCUUCUCUGAUGUUAGCGGCGGACGGGUGAGUAACACGUGGAUAACCUACCUAUAAGACUGGGAUAACUUCGGGAAACCGGAGCUAAUACCGGAUAAUACUUUGAACCGCAGGGUUCAAAAGUGAAAGACGGUCUUGCUGUCACUUAUAGAUGGAUCCGCGCUGCAUUAGCUAGUUGGUAAGGUAACGGCUUACCAAGGCAACGAUGCAUAGCCGACCUGAGAGGGUGAUCGGCCACACUGGAACUGAGACACGGUCCAGACUCCUACGGGAGGCAGCAGUAGGGAAUCUUCCGCAAUGGGCGAAAGCCUGACGGAGCAACGCCGCGUGAGUGAUGAAGGUCUUCGGAUCGUAAAACUCUGUUAUUAGGGAAGAACAUAUGUGUAAGUAACUGUGCACAUCUUGACGGUACCUAAUCAGAAAGCCACGGCUAACUACGUG
Molecule: ribosomal RNA, 497 nt
Filed under: uncultured bacterium
Lineage: Bacteria
Description: partial 16S ribosomal RNA
Rfam family: Bacterial small subunit ribosomal RNA
Source: RNAcentral